RNAcentral lists this ribosomal RNA (466 nucleotides) under uncultured bacterium. Its description in RNAcentral is "bacterial SSU rRNA". It matches the Rfam family "Bacterial small subunit ribosomal RNA", at positions 926 to 1391 of the family's 1533-position model. The record is from RNAcentral.
CAAGCGGUGGAGCAUGUGGUUUAAUUCGAUGCAACGCGAAGAACCUUACCUGGUCUUGACAUCCACGGAAGUUUUCAGAGAUGAGAAUGUGCCUUCGGGAACCGUGAGACAGGUGCUGCAUGGCUGUCGUCAGCUCGUGUUGUGAAAUGUUGGGUUAAGUCCCGCAACGAGCGCAACCCUUAUCCUUUGUUGCCAGCGGUCCGGCCGGGAACUCAAAGGAGACUGCCAGUGAUAAACUGGAGGAAGGUGGGGAUGACGUCAAGUCAUCAUGGCCCUUACGACCAGGGCUACACACGUGCUACAAUGGCGCAUACAAAGAGAAGCGACCUCGCGAGAGCAAGCGGACCUCAUAAAGUGCGUCGUAGUCCGGAUUGGAGUCUGCAACUCGACUCCAUGAAGUCGGAAUCGCUAGUAAUCGUGGAUCAGAAUGCCACGGUGAAUACGUUCCCGGGGCCUUGUACACACC